RNAcentral lists this RNase P RNA (400 nucleotides) under Methylobacterium durans. RNAcentral describes it as "Bacterial RNase P class A". It matches the Rfam family "Bacterial RNase P class A". From Rfam's summary of the family: Ribonuclease P (RNase P) is a ubiquitous endoribonuclease, found in archaea, bacteria and eukarya as well as chloroplasts and mitochondria. Its best characterised activity is the generation of mature 5'-ends of tRNAs by cleaving the 5'-leader elements of precursor-tRNAs. The record is from Rfam by way of RNAcentral. Lineage: Bacteria; Pseudomonadati; Pseudomonadota; Alphaproteobacteria; Hyphomicrobiales; Methylobacteriaceae.
UCAGCCGGCCGGGCGGCCGCUCCGGACCUCACGGUCCGGGGAGGAAAGUCCGGGCUCCAUGGAGAGACGGUGCCGGAUAACGUCCGGCGGGGGCGACCCCAGGGACAGUGCCACAGAAAGCAGACCGCCCUGCAUGCAGGGUCAGGGUGAAAGGGUGCGGUAAGAGCGCACCGCGGACGCGGCAACGCGGACGGCACGGCAAACCCCACCGGGAGCAAAACCGAAUAGGGGCGACGCGCCCCCCGCGAGGGGAGGCAGGCCCACUCUCCAGGCCGGUCGCCCGGGUUGGUUGCUUGAGGCGGUCGGCAACGACCGUCCCAGAGGAAUGGCCGCCACGUGCGGGCCGGCUUCGCGGCCGGCCUUCGCCCUACAGAACCCGGCUUACAGGCCGGCUGAUCCG